GUGUCAGCAGCCGCGGUAAUACGAAGGGUGCGAGCGUUGUUCGGAAUUAUUGGGCGUAAAGGGUUCGUAGGCGGGAGAAUAAGUUAAGUGUGAAAGACCUGGGCUUAACCUGGGAGUGUCACUUAAAACUGUUUUUCUUGAGUCUCAGAGAGGGUGGUGGAAUUGCUGGUGUAGGAGUGACAUCCGUAGAGAUCAGCAGGAACAUCGGAGGCGAAGGCGACCACCUGGCUGAAGACUGACGCUGAGGAACGAAAGCGUGGGGAGCAAACAGGAUUAGAUACCCUGGUAGUCCACGCCGUAAACGAUGAUUACUAGGUGUUGGGGGAGUUGACCCCCUCAGUACCGGAGCACACGCGUUAAGUAAUCCGCCUGGGGAGUACGACCGCAAGGUUAAA
Molecule: ribosomal RNA, 395 nt
Filed under: uncultured bacterium
Lineage: Bacteria
Description: bacterial SSU rRNA
Rfam family: Bacterial small subunit ribosomal RNA
Source: RNAcentral